This 490-nucleotide ribosomal RNA is filed under the name uncultured bacterium. RNAcentral describes it as "partial 16S ribosomal RNA". It matches the Rfam family "Bacterial small subunit ribosomal RNA", at positions 30 to 507 of the family's 1533-position model. The record is from RNAcentral.
AUUGAACGCUGGCGGCAGGCCUAACACAUGCAAGUCGAACGGUAACAGGAAGCAGCUUGCUGCUUCGCUGACGAGUGGCGGACGGGUGAGUAAUGUCUGGGAAGCUGCCUGAUGGAGGGGGAUAACUACUGGAAACGGUAGCUAAUACCGCAUAAUGUCGCAAGACCAAAGAGGGGGACCUUCGGGCCUCUUGCCAUCGGAUGUGCCCAGAUGGGAUUAGCUUGUUGGUGGGGUAACGGCUCACCAAGGCGACGAUCCCUAGCUGGUCUGAGAGGAUGACCAGCAAAACUGGAACUGAGACACGGUCCAGACUCCUCCGGGAGGAAGCAGUGGGGAAUAUUGCACAAUGGGCGAAAGCCUGAUGCAGACAUGCCGCGUGUAUGAAGAAGGCCUUCGGGUUGUAAAGUACUUUCAGCGGGGAGGAAGGGAGUAAAGUUAAUAACUUUGCCAAUUGACGUUACCCGCAGAAGAAGCAACGGCUAACUCCGUG